AGUCGAGGAUCAUUCGCAAUGCGCGAAAGCGUGACGAUGCGACGCUGCGUGGAGGAUGACGGCCUUAGGGUUGUAAACUCCUGUCAUGAGGGAAAAACGGCCAUAGGGUUAAUAGCCCUAUGGUGUGAUGGUACCUCAAGAGGAAGCCACGGCUAACUCUGUGCCAGCAGCCGCGGUAAUACAGAGGUGGCGAGCGUUGUUCGGAUUUACUGGGCGUAAAGGGUGCGUAGGUGGUAAUGUAUGUCGGAUGUGAAAUCCCGAGGCUCAACUUCGGAAUUGCAUCCGAAACUGCAUAACUUGAGUGCAGGAUGGGAGAGCGGAAUUCUUGGUGUAGCGGUGAAAUGCGUUGAUAUCAAGAAGAACACCGGUGGCGAAGGCGGCUCUCUGGAAUGUUACUGACACUGAGGCACGAAAGCUGGGGGAGCAAACAGGAUUAGAUACCCUGGUAGUCCCAGCCGUAAACGGUGCACACUUGGUGUUGGAGGUAUUGACCCCUCCAGUGCCGGAGCUAACGCGUUAAGUGUGCCGCCUGGGGAGUACGGUCGCAAGGCUAAAACUCAAAGAAAUUGACGGGGGCCCGCACAAGCGGAGGAGCAUGUGGCUUAAUUCGAUGCAACGCGAAGAACCUUACCAGGGCUUGACAUGGGGACCCUUCGGGGGUGGGUGCGAAAGUACCCUUUACCAUCACAGGUGCUGCAUGGCUGUCGUCAGUUCGUGCCGUGAGGUGUUUGGUUAAGUCCAGCAACGAACGCAACCCCUGUGGCUAGUUGCCACCGCCGGUGUUAAGUCGGCGAGCACUCUAGCCAGACUGCCCGUACAAGCGGGAGGAAGGUGGGGAUGACGUCAAGUCAGUAUGGCCCUUACGCCCUGGGCUGCACACGUGCUACAAUGGUCGGUACAGAGGGAAGCAAAACCGCGAGGUCGAGCAAAUCCACAAAACCGGCCCCAGUUCGGAUUGGAGUCUGCAACUCGACUCCAUGAAGUUGGAUUCGCUAGUAACGGCGUAUCAGCUACGACGCCGUGAAUACGUUCCCGGGCCUUGUACACACCGCCCGUCACAUCAUGAAAGCCGUCUGCACCCGAAGUCACUGAUCUAAUCCCCUUGUGGGAAGGAAGGUGCCGAAGGUGUGGGUGGUGUUUGGGAUG
Molecule: ribosomal RNA, 1146 nt
Filed under: uncultured bacterium
Lineage: Bacteria
Description: bacterial SSU rRNA
Rfam family: Bacterial small subunit ribosomal RNA
Source: RNAcentral